AGGGAAUCUUCCAUAAUGGACGAAAGUCUGAUGGAGCGACGCCGCGUGAGUGAAGAAGGGUUUCGGCUCGUAAAACUCUGUUGUUAAAGAAGAACAUAUCUGAGAGUAACUGUUCAGGUAUUGACGGUAUUUAACCAGAAAGCCACGGCUAACUACGUGCCAGCAGCCGCGGUAAUACGUAGGUGGCAAGCGUUGUCCGGAUUUAUUGGGCGUAAAGCGAGCGCAGGCGGUUUUUUAAGUCUGAUGUGAAAGCCUUCGGCUCAACCGAAGAAGUGCAUCGGAAACUGGGAAACUUGAGUGCAGAAGAGGACAGUGGAACUCCAUGUGUAGCGGUGAAAUGCGUAGAUAUAUGGAAGAACACCAGUGGCGAAGGCGGCUGUCUGGUCUGUAACUGACGCUGAGGCUCGAAAGUAUGGGUAGCAAACAGGAUUAGAUACCCUGGUAGUCCAUACCGUAAACGAUGAAUGCUAAGUGUUGGAGGGUUUCCGCCCUUCAGUGCUGCAGCUAACGCAUUAAGCAUUCCGCCUGGGGAGUACGGCCGCAAGGCUGAAACUCAAAGGAAUUGACGGGGGCCCGCACAAGCGGUGGAGCAUGUGGUUUAAUUCGAAGCUACGCGAAGAACCUUACCAGGUCUUGACAUACUAUGCAAAUCUAAGAGAUUAGACGUUCCCUUCGGGGACAUGGAUACAGGUGGUGCAUGGUUGUCGUCAGCUCGUGUCGUGAGAUGUUGGGUUAAGUC
This 739-nucleotide ribosomal RNA is filed under the name uncultured bacterium. RNAcentral describes it as "bacterial SSU rRNA". It matches the Rfam family "Bacterial small subunit ribosomal RNA", at positions 356 to 1086 of the family's 1533-position model. The record is from RNAcentral.